GUGCAAUGGGGGCAGCUACCAUGCAGUCGUACGAGAAGGUUCCUUCGGGAACUGGAGAGUGGCGCACGGGUGAGUAACGCGUGGGGACCUACCUCUUAGUGGGGGAUAACGGUUGGAAACGACCGCUAAUACCGCAUACGCCCUUCGGGGGAAAGAUUUAUCGCUAAGAGAUGGACCCGCGUUGGAUUAGAUAGUUGGUGAGGUAACGGCUCACCAAGUCAGCGAUCCAUAGCUGGUUUGAGAGGAUGAUCAGCCACACUGGGACUGAGACACGGCCCAGACUCCUACGGGAGGCAGCAGUGGGGAAUAUUGGACAAUGGGCGCAAGCCUGAUCCAGCCAUGCCGCGUGAGUGAAGAAGGCCUUCGGGUUGUAAAGCUCUUUCAGAUGCGAAGAUGAUGACGGUAACAUCAGAAGAAGCCCCGGCUAAUUUCGUGCCAGCAGCCGCGGUAAUACGAAAGGGGCAAGCGUUGUUCGGAUUUACUGGGCGUAAAGGGCACGCAGGCGGUCCUGCCAGUCAGGGGUGAAAGCCCGGGGCUCAACCCCGGAACUGCCUCUGAUACUGCAGGACUAGAGACUAGGAGAGGGUGGUGGAAUUCCCAGUGUAGAGGUGAAAUUCGUAGAUAUUGGGAGGAACACCAGAGGCGAAGGCGGCCACCUGGACUAGAUCUGACGCUCAGGUGCGAAAGCGUGGGGAGCAAACAGGAUUAGAUAUCCGUGGUAGUC
Molecule: ribosomal RNA, 724 nt
Filed under: Thalassospira sp.
Lineage: Bacteria; Pseudomonadati; Pseudomonadota; Alphaproteobacteria; Rhodospirillales; Thalassospiraceae
Description: bacterial SSU rRNA
Rfam family: Bacterial small subunit ribosomal RNA
Source: RNAcentral